Molecule: small nucleolar RNA, 85 nt
Organism: Ictidomys tridecemlineatus (thirteen-lined ground squirrel)
Lineage: Eukaryota; Metazoa; Chordata; Mammalia; Rodentia; Sciuridae
Source: Ensembl
UUUGGCAAUGAUGACCCACUUGCCCUCACUGAGAACAGAGUUUGGUAAUGAGAAUCUUUUUAUUUAUUUUUUAAAUGGAGUCACA